This is a long non-coding RNA of Harpia harpyja (harpy eagle), 2739 nucleotides long. RefSeq lists it as uncharacterized. The record is from RefSeq and is a predicted model, not a curated record. Lineage: Eukaryota; Metazoa; Chordata; Aves; Accipitriformes; Accipitridae. The transcript is spliced from 2 exons.
UUCUAUAACUGUUAAUGCUCAUUUAAGGAGAUCAAAACAUGAAAACAUGAGCCAAGGACAGCCUCUGGGAGACUUCUGAAACUGAUAUGAAGAAGACCAGACAAAAUCUGAAUCUAAACAAGGAGUGAUUCAUAUACUACUUGAUUUCAGCAAGUAUUUCAAUGAAAAUUGUCACUUGCAAAGUAUGAUGCUGGGAUGCUGAGAAAGAUCAGUGACAAAAUCCUUUUGCAGGGCUAUGCAACCCGUCAUGGAACAUAAAGUUUUUCCUCCUGUCAGCCAGGAAGAGUAAGAAGUAAUUUGCAGUGGAUGUGAUGGAAGAUAACUGCUCUGAAACCUGAAAAUCCAGGUUUCUGUUCAAAACAUAGCUAGAAAGGGUCGUUUUGUUCUUGUCCAUGGCCUUGUUGGAGCUUUAGAAACAUUAAACGUGGUUUGGAAGCCUGAGAACCAUGCAGACAUAGGAAGGGUAGUUUAGAGAAAUGCAAUGCUGGCCAGAAAAGGUCACAAGAAAAGAUGAACAAACUUGAGAAGACAGAACAAAGCACUCUAAACCAGGAACAGCAAACCAAAUCAUCAAAGUUUGAGAGUAAAACAGUUGACCCUCUUUAUUCGCCUUAGGGUUUAUUAGUUAAACAUAUGCCAGUUACUGAAAGAGUAGUUAGAUUUGUAAAUUUCACAAGAAUUUGUAAAAUUCACAAGACUAUCAGGUACACAGAAUUAGGUCAGAUAUGCCAAAAUGGUUUGGAAAAGAUUUGAAAUGGUUUCAGAAUCAGGUUUUUGUAACUGACCUCCCAAUAACUCUUAUGCAGACAUUCCCCAUGAGUGGGCAUUUGUGUCUGUUCAUUAUGGGAGAGUUGUGUGCAAAACUUGGCGCUCUAGAAUUUGGACAAAAUGUCAGAGCUUAUGCUACUUGAGCUAAUAACUGUCUGGACUUAAAUACAUUUAAUAGAUAAUGUAUUAAAUAUCAGGAAAGGUGUUUUAUAAAUGAAGUCUAUAGCUAAUUUUCUCCACAACCAUAAGUGAAUGAAAUAGUUUAGAAGCAGCUGAUUGACACUGGGAAAAUUGCUCUAACACUGAAGACAAAGUAUGACAUCAUCAGCACUCAGCAAGGGAGAGGGGUGAAGUAUUUAAAACCCAUUUUACAACUUCUGUUCUAGGGAGCUUUAGCUAUCAAUAUUCUUGUGUGCCUGAACCAGACUGUCAUUAAUUUCUUGAGUGUUUCUGACAAUUGGAAAAUAUUGAGAAAAAAAGAUCAUAAAAUAUUCUAUAAGGGAGGAUUAUAAGGGAGAGAAGGACUAAAGAGAUUUCAAAGUCUACAGGAUUGGUUCCAAAAUAAAAUCUGCUGUGCAAAUACUGAGGAGAGAAUGUAUGUCUAUUAAUAAAAAGAAGGUUGAAGCUGUGCAUGACUUGCCAGCUUUCCAGGCACUCCUGAAAUAGGGUUUUUAUAGGCGCCCAUUCAUAAUGCCUGCUCCUGCAGCAAAACCUUUGCACAGGGUCUCAAUAGCUGCUUUAAUGGCUCAAACUAUUAUUGAUUUUACUAUUUCAAAACCUGAAAAUAGUGUUGGCAAUUACUCUUAGCUUAACACUUGCAUUUCUAAAGGAAAUUGAGCAGGAUGAGAUGAUUUUCAGUUUCAAGUUGGUAGAAAUAGCCUACCAGGACAUGAAAUCUAAAUCUGCAUAUAGUUAUGUUUCAAAAAAAAUUCACAUCUGCAAACCACUAGGAAUGUCAACUUUACAGUUUAACAGAAAAAGAUGGAUAGAGUUGGGAUAAGGUAUGAUACUACAGUGACCAUAUAGUCAUUUUUGCCAAAGAGCUGCUUCUUAGUGCAAAACCAGAGGGCGACCUGCUUCAGCAUCUUUUUCUGAGGUUCAAGAAAAAAAAAGGAAGUUCUGAGACAGCUGGAAAACUAACGGGUUCAGGCUCCUGCUCUGAUCCUCAUCAUGAGAUAAGAGCAGAGGCACAGGCAUGUCUGUCUGUCUGUCUUUCCACACCUUCUUUCCACAGCCUCCAGGAAAAUGAGGUUGCGCAUACAUUCCUUGGAACUAAAUAAAACUGCACAAAAGGAGUAAUUCAUUCAUGCCAUCUAUGUUUCUUCUCCUAAGAGAAAAAAAUCUUACUAUUCAGGCAGUGGUUAUUAUAUAAAUGAGAAAUACUGCAUUUCAAUAGGCAAAAUAUAUGUUUUAAACAUUUCUUGGCAAUUAACAUCUAAAUGUUUUCCUCUAAAUAGGACUUAUAUACUGCUCAGCUCCAGCACAAUGAUAGUAACUUGAAAACUGAGAAACUAGAAAAUGCUUAGAGGUAAUGAUGGCUCAUCCUUCAGAAAACAUAACUUUUUAAAAAAUGUGUUUAUCUGAAAAGGUUACCACACCUAAAUUCCCUAAUGCCUCCUAGAUUUUUAUUCAUGAAAUUAUAUAUAUCACCGUAUUUUACUGGAAACAAUGUACUUAAAUUUAUACUCUGCAGUCUGUUUUUCCCAGUAAAAUACGUUACACUCUGGACAUUUGUUAACAUUUCUAGUAUCUCUUGCUUUGAUGUUACGUUAUUAAACCUAUAUGCUGUACUUCUAUUUAUUAAUGUUUCUUUUGCACUAUUUCACCCUGUACAACAUGUUAAACUUUGCAUUAAUCUUUCUAAAGACUAUUGUUAUGAGUAUUUCUGCCUGUUUUUCAGUAGCCCUCUAUUUUAAGACCAUGUAUACAUAGAGAAUAUAACAGGAUCAGGAUGAAUUUCAGUUUCUAUUA